Molecule: non-coding RNA, 75 nt
Filed under: marine eukaryotic metagenome
Description: S-adenosyl-L-homocysteine riboswitch
Rfam family: SAH (S-adenosyl-L-homocysteine) riboswitch aptamer
Source: RNAcentral
UUUCUGAGGAGCGUUGCGACGGAUAUUAUCCGCUAGGCUCAGAUAAAGACAAAACUAUUCCAACGGCGCUCGCUU